Molecule: ribosomal RNA, 564 nt
Filed under: uncultured Glomeromycotina
Lineage: Eukaryota; Fungi; Glomeromycota
Description: SSU rRNA
Rfam family: Eukaryotic small subunit ribosomal RNA
Source: RNAcentral
UUGGAGGGCAAGUCUGGUGCCGGCAGCCGCGGUAAUUCCAGCUCCAAUAGCGUAUAUUAAAGUUGUUGCAGUUAAAAAGCUCGUAGUUGAAUUUCGGGAUCAGACUGUCGGUCGUGCCUCGGUACGCACUGGUAUUAUUGGUUCCUACCUUCUGAAGAACCGCGAUGUCAUUAAUUUGGUGUCGUGGGGAAUCGGGACUGUUACUUUGAAAAAAUUAGAGUGUUUAAAGCAGGCUUACGCUUGAAUACAUUAGCAUGGAAUAAUGAAAUAGGACGUUUGAUUCUACUUUGUUGGUUUCUAGGAUUGACGUAAUGAUUAAUAGGGAUAGUUGGGGGCAUUAGUAUUCAAUUGUCAGAGGUGAAAUUCUUGGAUUUAUUGAAGACUAACUACUGCGAAAGCAUUUGCCAAGGAUGUUUUCAUUAAUCAAGAACGAAAGUUGGGGGAUCGAAGACGAUCAGAUACCGUCGUAAUCUUAACCAUAAACUAUGCCGACUAGGGAUCGGAUGAUGUUAAUUUUUUAAUGACUCAUUCGGCGCCUUACGGGAAACCAAAGUGUUUGGGUUC